UUCAUUCGUUCGUACACUCAAGACUGGUUGCUUCUUUGUUUCUAAAACUAGUUUCUUGCGCUUCUAUGUAACUUGGGGUGAAGUUACGUGUUUGCAAGCGGACAUGUAAGCCCGGCAGUUGGGUUUCGGUCGUGAGCCAUUCGGAACAGGUCUGCAUCGAAACGGGAGCUGGAUUUUGCUGCGGCUGACAACGGCAAUAACGACAUGCAGUAAUGAGGACGGCACCAGUAUAAAGCAACACACUCCACGCACUAAACAGAAGCUGCUGCCUGCUACGACAAGGUCAUUGUGUGGACAUUGGCUACUACUACAAGAGUCUAUGCCAAGCACAUCUUGGUCAUCACAGGAGCUCCUAUCUGCACCAACAGGAAGGGGCUGGAGCCGAAUUUGCAAGGCUUUUACACCAAGAACAAAGAAGCACAUGCACAAGAAUAUGGAUGAGAUAUCAAGUCUGCAAAGGACUGUGUUAAGACUGCAAAGAGCUUCAGCCACCAUUCCACCAGCACGGA
Long non-coding RNA from Dermacentor albipictus, 509 nucleotides. RefSeq lists it as uncharacterized. Lineage: Eukaryota; Metazoa; Arthropoda; Arachnida; Ixodida; Ixodidae. The record is from RefSeq and is a predicted model, not a curated record.